UACGUAGGGCGCAAGCGUUGUCCGGAAUUAUUGGGCGUAAAGAGCUCGUAGGCGGUUUGUCGCGUCUGCCGUGAAAGUCCGGGGCUCAACUCCCGGAUCUGCGGUGGGUACGGGCAGACUAGAGUGAUGUAGGGGAGACUGGAAUUCCUGGUGUAGCGGUGAAAUGCGCAGAUAUCAGGAGGAACACCGAUGGCGAAGGCAGGUCUCUGGGCGAUUAACUGACGCUGAGGAGCGAAAGCAUGGGGAGCGAACAGG
This 255-nucleotide ribosomal RNA is filed under the name uncultured bacterium. Its description in RNAcentral is "partial 16S ribosomal RNA". It matches the Rfam family "Bacterial small subunit ribosomal RNA", at positions 524 to 776 of the family's 1533-position model. The record is from RNAcentral.